UACGUAGGUCCCGAGCGUUGUCCGGAUUUAUUGGGCGUAAAGCGAGCGCAGGUGGUUUAUUAAGUCUGGUGUAAAAGGCAGUGGCUCAACCAUUGUAUGCAUUGGAAACUGGUAGACUUGAGUGCAGGAGAGGAGAGUGGAAUUCCAUGUGUAGCGGUGAAAUGCAUAGAUAUCACGCAGAACUCCGAUUGCGAAGGCAGCGUACCGGCGCCCAACUGACGCUGAAGCACGAAGGCGUGGGUAUCGAACAGG
Molecule: ribosomal RNA, 252 nt
Filed under: uncultured bacterium
Lineage: Bacteria
Description: partial 16S ribosomal RNA
Rfam family: Bacterial small subunit ribosomal RNA
Source: RNAcentral